This 408-nucleotide ribosomal RNA is filed under the name uncultured bacterium. Its description in RNAcentral is "partial 16S ribosomal RNA". It matches the Rfam family "Bacterial small subunit ribosomal RNA", at positions 28 to 526 of the family's 1533-position model. The record is from RNAcentral.
GUCGAACGCUGGCGGCGUGCUUAACACAUGCAAGUCGAACGAAGUGGCGAACGGGUGAGUAACGCGUAAUCAACCUGCCCUUCAGAGGGGGACAACAGCUGGAAACGACUGCUAAUACCGCAUACUCAAGGAGGGUAUUGAGCCUGAUUAGCUAGUUGGAGGGGUAACGGCCCACCAAGGCGAUGACCAGUAGCCGGGCUGAGAGGAUGAACGGGCAAAUUGGGACUGGGACACGGCCCAGACUCUUACGGGAGGCAGCAGGGGGGAAUCUUGCGCAAUGGACGAAAGUCUGACGGAGCAACGCCGCGUGGGUGAUGACGGCCUUCGGGUUGUAAAGCUCUGUUAAUCGGGACGCGGUACCGGAAUAGAAAGCCACGGCUAACUACGUGCCAGCAGCCGCGGUAAUAC